Molecule: ribosomal RNA, 391 nt
Filed under: uncultured bacterium
Lineage: Bacteria
Description: bacterial SSU rRNA
Rfam family: Bacterial small subunit ribosomal RNA
Source: RNAcentral
AUUGAACGCUGGCGGCAUGCCUUACACAUGCAAGUCGAACGGCAGCACGGGAGCAAUCCUGGUGGCGAGUGGCGAACGGGUGAGUAAUAUAUCGGAACGUGCCCAGUCGUGGGGGAUAACGUAGCGAAAGCUACGCUAAUACCGCAUACGAUCUAUGGAUGAAAGCGGGGGAUCGCAAGACCUCGCGCGAUUGGAGCGGCCGAUAUCAGAUUAGGUAGUUGGUGAGGUAAAGGGCUCACCAAGCCGACGAUCUGUAGCUGGUCUGAGAGGACGACCAGCCACACUGGGACUGAGACACGGCCCCAGACUCCUACGGGAGGCAGCAGUGGGGAAUUUUGGACAAUGGGCGCAAGCCUGAUCCAGCAAUGCCGCGUGCAGGAUGAAGGCCUUC